Molecule: unclassified non-coding RNA, 242 nt
Filed under: plant metagenome
Description: partial contains small subunit ribosomal RNA, internal transcribed spacer 1, and 5.8S ribosomal RNA
Rfam family: Eukaryotic small subunit ribosomal RNA (bases 1-54)
Source: RNAcentral
GGAGGUAAAAGUCGUAACAAGGUCUCCGUAGGUGAACCUGCGGAGGGAUCAUUACAGAGUUCUCGCCCUCGCGGGUAGAUCUCCCACCCUUGAAUAUUUAUACCUUAGUUGCUUUGGCAGGCCGUGGAAACACCAUGGGCUCCGGCUCAUGCGUGCCUGCCAGAGGAAACAAACUCUGUUUUUAGUGAUGUCUGAGUACAAUAUAAUAGUUAAAACUUUCAACAACGGAUCUCUUGGUUCUG